ACAGUCACACGUAGUUUGAUCAUGGCUCAGAGCGACGCUGGCGGCAGGCUUAACACAUGCAAGUCGAGCGGGCGUAGCAAUACGUCAGCGGCAGACGGGUGAGUAACGCGUGGGAACGUACCUUUUGGUUCGGAACAACACAGGGAAACUUGUGCUAAUACCGGAUAAGCCCUUACGGGGAAAGAUUUAUCGCCGAAAGAUCGGCCCGCGUCUGAUUAGCUAGUUGGUAGGGUAAUGGCCUACCAAGGCGACGAUCAGUAGCUGGUUUGAGAGGAUGAUCAGCAACACUGGGACUGAGACACGGCCCAGACUCCUACGGGAGGCAGCAGUGGGGAAUCUUAGACAAUGGGCGCAAGCCUGAUCUAGCCAUGCCGCGUGGACGAUGAAGGCCUUAGGGUUGUAAAGUCCUUUCAGAUGGGAAGAUAAUGACGGUACCAUCAGAAGAAGCCCCGGCUAACUCCGUG
Molecule: ribosomal RNA, 464 nt
Filed under: uncultured bacterium
Lineage: Bacteria
Description: bacterial SSU rRNA
Rfam family: Bacterial small subunit ribosomal RNA
Source: RNAcentral